Armigeres subalbatus is the source of this 381-nucleotide long non-coding RNA. RefSeq lists it as uncharacterized. The transcript has 2 exons. The record is from RefSeq and is a predicted model, not a curated record. NCBI's taxonomy places the organism in Eukaryota, Metazoa, Arthropoda, Insecta, Diptera, Culicidae.
CAUUUUGGCUGCUAAUGUUUGCAUUCUAAAAAUGUAAUGAUCAGGCUUCGAGGCAAAACAGAUUUGUUUCUUUUCUAUUUUAAAGUUAAAAUUUGUUUGUGAAUCACCAGUUCUAUAUAAAUAGAUGUAAAUUAGUGAUAACCAAAAAUGGUAAUUAAUUUUGGUGUUUCAAGUGUAUGGCAAGAUAGCGAAGCAAAAAAAAACUACGCCGGGAAUUAAUUGAAUCGAGGAAUCAACUCAGAUCUCUGCCCAUGCAAAUACUGCUUGUAUACACUUCCACUAUCAAAAGUAAUUUUACAAACUCUGUUGGCAGCGACAUUAUGAAUCGAGUUAUGAAUAUGUGAAUUAUUUUAAAUAAAUAAAGCUAUAAUAUCUAAACAA